This 433-nucleotide ribosomal RNA is filed under the name uncultured bacterium. RNAcentral's name for it is "partial 16S ribosomal RNA". It matches the Rfam family "Bacterial small subunit ribosomal RNA", at positions 29 to 507 of the family's 1533-position model. The record is from RNAcentral.
AACGAACGCUGGCGGCAUGCCUAACACAUGCAAGUCGAACGAGACCUUCGGGUCUAGUGGCGCACGGGUGCGUAACGCGUGGGAACCUGCCCUUAGGUUCGGAAUACCUCCCCGAAAGGGGUGCUAAUACCGGUUAAUGUCUUCGGACCAAAGAUUUAUCGCCUUUGGAUGGGCCCGCGUUGGAUUAGCUAGUUGGUAGGGUAAAAGCCUACCAAGGCGACGAUCCAUAGCUGGUCUGAGAGGAUGAUCAGCCACACUGGGACUGAGACACGGCCCAGACUCCUACGGGAGGGAGCAGUGGGGAAUAUUGGACAAUGGGCGAAAGCCUGAUCCAGCAAUGCCGCGUGAGUGAUGAAGGCCUUAGGGUUGUAAAGCUCUUUUACCCGGGAUGAUAAUGACAGUACCGGGAGAAUAAGCUCCGGCUAACUCCGUG